AUGGAUCCUGGGGACGACUGGCUGGUGGAAUCCUUGCGCUUGUACCAGGAUUUCUAUGCAUUCGACCUGUCAGGAGCCACUCGAGUCCUUGAAUGGAUUGAUGACAAAGGAGUCUUUGUUGCUGGCUAUGAAAGCCUGAAAAAGAAUGAAAUUCUUCAUCUGAAAUUACCUCUCAGACUUUCUGUAAAGGAAAACAAGGGCUUAUUCCCAGAAAGAGAUUUCAAAGUGCGCCAUGGAGGAUUUUCAGACAGGUCUAUCUUUGAUCUAAAGCAUGUGCCACAUACCAGAUUGCUGGUUACCAGUGGCCUUCCAGGUUGUUAUCUGCAGGUGUGGCAGGUUGCAGAGGACAGUGAUGUCAUUAAAGCUGUCAGCACCAUUGCUGUGCAUGAGAAAGAGGAGAGUCUCUGGCCUAGGGUGGCCGUCUUCUCCACAUUGGCACCCGGAGUCCUCCAUGGGGCGAGGCUCCGCAGUCUGCAGGUCAUUGAUCUGGAGUCCCGGAAGACCACGUACACCUCAGGUACCAUGGUACUUUGUCCCUUGCUUGCUGCUCCAGCCGGCAUCACCCACCAGCCCAACUCAGCCACUAUAAAAACUGAGUUCAACUCUCUGUGCCAGGUGUUGGGGAUAUACAGUGAAUAAGAGGUAAGCCCUGGCCUCUAAGGGCUCCUAUGCUGGGGCAGGAUUAGGCAGUCCCAGGGACCAACACCCAACCAGCUGAGCAGACAAUGGUGAGAUGAGUGGGAAGGGAGAUGUGAUUUAUUCUGCCUGGGACUGGUGGGAAGGGACCUGUGACCAGCCAGCCCUGCCAAAUUGCCAGACCCAUCUGCCUCCAGCCGCUUGUCUCCUUUGCUGUCGGUCUUCCAGAUGUCAGUGACAGUGAGGAGCUGAGUAGCCUGCAGGUCCUAGAUGCAGACACCUUUGCCUUCUGCUGUGCUUCGGGCCGGCUGGGGCUUGUUGACACCCGCCAGAAGUGGGCACCAUUGGAGAAUCGCAGCCCUGGCCCUGGG
Molecule: small RNA, 1007 nt
Filed under: Pan troglodytes (chimpanzee)
Lineage: Eukaryota; Metazoa; Chordata; Mammalia; Primates; Hominidae
Description: retained intron
Source: RNAcentral